This 301-nucleotide ribosomal RNA is filed under the name uncultured bacterium. Its description in RNAcentral is "partial 16S ribosomal RNA". It matches the Rfam family "Bacterial small subunit ribosomal RNA", at positions 509 to 807 of the family's 1533-position model. The record is from RNAcentral.
CAGUAGCCGCGGGAAUACGUAGGGUGCGAGCGUUAAUCGGAAUUACUGGGCGUAAAGCGUGCGCAAGCGGUUAUAUAAGACAGAUGUGAAAUCCCCGGGCUCAACCUGGGACCUGCAUUUGUGACUGUACAGCUAGAGUACGGUAGAGGGGGAUGGAAUUCCGCGUGUAGCAGUGAAAUGCGUAGAUAUGCGGAGGAACACCGAUGGCGAAGGCAAUCCCCUGGACCUGUACUGACGCUCAUGCACGAAAGCGUGGGGAGCAAACAGGAUUAGAUACCCCUGUAGUCCCUGUCUCUUAUAC